Molecule: transfer RNA, 86 nt
Filed under: Candidatus Parendomicrobium porotermitis
Lineage: Bacteria; Pseudomonadati; Elusimicrobiota; Endomicrobiia; Endomicrobiales; Endomicrobiaceae
Description: tRNA-Leu
Rfam family: tRNA
About the family: Transfer RNA (tRNA) molecules are approximately 80 nucleotides in length. Their secondary structure includes four short double-helical elements and three loops (D, anti-codon, and T loops). Further hydrogen bonds mediate the characteristic L-shaped molecular structure. tRNAs have two regions of fundamental functional importance: the anti-codon, which is responsible for specific mRNA codon recognition, and the 3' end, to which the tRNAs corresponding amino acid is attached (by aminoacyl-tRNA synthetases). tRNAs cope with the degeneracy of the genetic code in two manners: having more than one tRNA (with a specific anti-codon) for a particular amino acid; and 'wobble' base-pairing, i.e. permitting non-standard base-pairing at the 3rd anti-codon position.
Source: RNAcentral
GCCGAGGUGGUGGAAUUGGCAGACACGCGAGACUCAAAAUCUCGAGUUGCUCAAGCAGCGUGCGGGUUCAAGUCCCGCCCUCGGCA